RNAcentral lists this ribosomal RNA (468 nucleotides) under uncultured bacterium. Its description in RNAcentral is "partial 16S ribosomal RNA". It matches the Rfam family "Bacterial small subunit ribosomal RNA", at positions 28 to 507 of the family's 1533-position model. The record is from RNAcentral.
GACGAACGCUGGCGGCGUGCUUAACACAUGCAAGUCGAACGGAAAGGCCCUGCGUUUGUGUGUUUCUCGAUUGGCGAACGGGGGAGUAACACGUGAGUAACCUGCCCUUGACUUUGGGAUAACUUCAGGAAACUGGGGCUAAUACCGGAUAGGAUCUCCUGCUGCAUGGUGGUGGUUGGAAAGUUUCGGCGGUUGGGGAUGGACUCGCGGCUUAUCAGCUUGUUGGUGGGGUAGUGGCUUACCAGGGCUUUGACGGGUAGCCGGCAUGAGAGGGUGACCGGCCACAUUGGGACUGAGAUACGGCCCAGAAUCCUAUGGGAGGCAGUAGUGGGGAAUAUUGCACAACGGGCGGACGCCUGAUGCAGCAACGCCGCGUGCGGGAUGCCGGCUUUCGGGUUGUAAACCGAUUUCGACUGUGAUGAAGAGUGAGUGACGGUAAUGGGUCAAGAAGCAACGGCUAACUACGUG